Molecule: ribosomal RNA, 484 nt
Filed under: uncultured bacterium
Lineage: Bacteria
Description: partial 16S ribosomal RNA
Rfam family: Bacterial small subunit ribosomal RNA
Source: RNAcentral
GACGAACGCUGGCGGCGUGCUUAACACAUGCAAGUCGAACGAUGAAGCUGGAGCUUGCCCCGGUGGAUUAGUGGCGAACGGGUGAGUGACACGUGAGAAAUCUGCCCUUGACUCUGGGAUAACUGCGGGAAACUGUAGCUAGUCCCGGAUAAUUUCCUUCGUGGGCAUCCCCUGGGGAAGAAAGAAUUUCGGUCAAGGAUGAUAUCGCGGCCCAUCAGCUUGUUGGUGAGGUAAUGGCACACCAAGGCGACGACGGGGAGCCGGCCUGAGAGGGUGACCGGCCACACUGGGACUGAGACACGGCCCAGACUCCUACGGGAGGCGGCAGUGGGGAAUAUGGCACAAUGGGCGCAAGCCUGAUGCAGCAACGCUGCGUGAGGGAUGAAGGCCUUCGGGUUGUAAACCUCUUUUAGCAGGGAAGAAGCGAAAGUGACGGUACCUGCAGAAAAAGCACCGGCUAACUACGUGCCAGCCGCCGCAGUAA